GCUUUGGGGAGCUGUACGUAAGCGUUGAUCCAGAGAUUUCCGAAUGGGGGAACCCACUAUCUUUAGUCGGAUAGUAUCCUUACGUGAAUACAUAGCGUGAGGAAGGCAGACCCAGGGAACUGAAACAUCUAAGUACCUGGAGGAAGAGAAAGAAAAAUCGAUUUCCUGAGUAGCGGCGAGCGAAACGGAAAGAGCCCAAACCAAGAAGCUUGCUUCUUGGGGUUGUAGGACACUCUAUACGGAGUUACAAAAGAAAGUUAUAAAUGAAGCGGUCUGGAAAGGCCCGCCAAAGACGG
RNAcentral lists this ribosomal RNA (296 nucleotides) under Listeria monocytogenes. RNAcentral describes it as "partial 23S ribosomal RNA". It matches the Rfam family "Bacterial large subunit ribosomal RNA", at positions 75 to 364 of the family's 2925-position model. The record is from RNAcentral. Lineage: Bacteria; Bacillati; Bacillota; Bacilli; Caryophanales; Listeriaceae.